AUUGAACGCUGGCGGCAGGCCUAACACAUGCAAGUCGAACGGUAGCACAGAGAGCUUGCUCUCGGGUGACGAGUGGCGGACGGGUGAGUAACGUCUGGGAAACUGCCCGAUGGAGGGGGAUAACUACUGGAAACGGUAGCUAAUACCGCAUAACGUCGCAAGACCAAAGUGGGGGACCUUCGGGCCUCACACCAUCGGAUGUGCCCAGAUGGGAUUAGAUAGUAGGUGGGGUAAUGGCUCACCUAGGCGACGAUCCCUAGCUGGUCUGAGAGGAUGACCAGCACACUGGAACUGAGACACGGUCCAGACUCCUACGGGAGGCAGCAGUGGGGAAUAUUGCACAAUGGGCGCAAGCCUGAUGCAGCCAUGCCGCGUGUAUGAAGAAGGCCUUCGGGUUGUAAAGUACUUUCAGCGGGGAGGAAGGCGGUGAAGUUAAUAGCUUAACCGAUUGACGUUACCCGCAGAAGAAGCACCGGCUAACUCCGUGCCAGCCGCCGCAGUAA
This 503-nucleotide ribosomal RNA is filed under the name uncultured bacterium. RNAcentral describes it as "partial 16S ribosomal RNA". It matches the Rfam family "Bacterial small subunit ribosomal RNA", at positions 30 to 523 of the family's 1533-position model. The record is from RNAcentral.